This 1457-nucleotide long non-coding RNA is filed under the name Homo sapiens (human). RNAcentral's name for it is "HSALNT0310391". Lineage: Eukaryota; Metazoa; Chordata; Mammalia; Primates; Hominidae. The record is from RNAcentral.
UGUGGACCACACAGAGCUGGGUCUGAGGCUCAGCUUCACAAGCUGUGUAUGGUAGGUCCAUGGUCCUUUUUCUUGGCCUCAGGGCCCAUGUCGGUAACACAAGGGUUCAUAAAGACAGGGGCCAUUGUGUCAGAUGCUUUUCUAAGUGCUACAGAUGCUUACUCAUUUAAUCCUCACAACAAUAAUAGGUCCUAGUAGGUAGGAACUAUUAUUAUCCCUAUUUUACAGGUGAGAAAAUGAAGGCACAGAGAGAUUGAGUAACUUGCACAAGGUCACAUGUAGGAGAACUGAGCAUCCACCCUACUCAGCCUGGCCCCAAGGUCCAAGCAAAGGCUUGGUUAUUUGGAAUUCCUCCCCAAAGUUUCACUUCCUGGGCUAGUUUUAGGCCUGCUAAACCCAUGGUGAUCAGCACUUUUAGAAAAAUCAGCAUCUUAGAAACAACAUGUUAGACAUGAUUUCAAGCCCCUGGUAACUUAAACCCAAUUAUAAAUGGCUUUGGCUAUAAAGUGUUCUUGAAUGAAAACGUUUAGGAAGUAGGCCUGGAUUCAGAUGCUUCAGAGGCUCAAAGGUUUUCUAAUUGUUUAUGGAGAAGAUUGAUCUUCACAAGCUAGUUUUUUCAUAGGCAAAAGCAAAAGUCUCUUCCUGUGUUAUUAAGUGAAAAUGGCUGAUUAUAAAAAGGGGCUUACAAACAAUAUUUAACAAAUCUUCAUCAAGUCCCUACUCUGUGGCAGGCCCUGGGUCAGGAGGUUGCCGAUUCCAGGAAGAAUCAGACCUUAUCCCUGCCCUUGAGUCUCAAGAAGAGGAAAGGAAAACAAAUAAGCAUAGUACAGUGUGAAAAGUGGGACUGUGGUCAAAUUUCAGUCUGCAAACUCAGAAUGGAUGAAAUAUGAAAGACUGACAACAUCAAGUUGUCAAGUAGGACAGGAUGUGGAACCACUGGAACUCAUACGUGACUGAUGGGAAUGCAAAAUGAUACCGAUCCCUUGGAAAACUCCUUGGCAACUUUAAUAAACAUAAAUCUACCCUAUGAUCCAGAAAUUCCACUCUGAGUCACGUCUCCAAGAGCAAUGAAAAUAUAUACCCACAAAAGACUGCACAUAAAUCAGAACAGCAUUGUUGAUAAUAGCCCAAACUGGAAACAACCUAAAUAUUCACCAAUAGAAGCCUGAAUAAAUUCAUACUGUGGGAUACUCUACAGCAAUGAGGUAGAUGAACUAUUACUGCCUACAACAACAUGAAAGAAAGUAAAAGUCACUACUUUGAUAAUUAUAAACACAAAAAAGUAAACAUAUCAUUCUAUUCAUAUGAAGAGUUAUCUAAAUAAUUAGUAAAAUUGAUCUAUGAUUUUAGAAGUGGUACCUCUGGAGGAGAAGGAGGGGUACUGUUACUGACUGAGAAGGGAGUUCUGGAAAAAUUCUAUACUUUGAUCUUUGGGAUGGUUACACAGAUGUAUAGAC